Molecule: non-coding RNA, 85 nt
Organism: Diatrype stigma
Lineage: Eukaryota; Fungi; Ascomycota; Sordariomycetes; Xylariales; Diatrypaceae
Source: the annotation of a GenBank genome assembly
GGGCUCGUGGUUUAGUGGUAUAAUUCUCCCUUAGCAACUCUAACUAAGUUGGGAGCGGUCCGGGGUUCGAUUCCCCGCGAGUCCA